GAUGAACGCUGGCGGCGUGCCUAAUACAUGCAAGUCGAGCGAACGGACGAGAAGCUUGCUUCUCUGAUGUUAGCGGCGGACGGGUGAGUAACACGUGGAUAACCUACCUAUAAGACUGGGAUAACUUCGGGAAACCGGAUCUAAUACCGUAUAAUAUUUUGAACCGCAUGGUUCAAAAGUGAAAGACGGUCUUGCUGUCACUUAUAGAUGGAUCCGCGCUGCAUUAGCUAGUUGGUAAGGUACCGGCUUACCAAGGCAACGAUGCAUAGCCGACCUGAGAGGGGGAUAGGCCACACUGGAACGGAGACACGGUCAAGAGGACUAAGGGAGGCAGCAGUAGGGAAUCUUACGCAAUGGGCGAAAGCAUGACGGAGCAACGCCGCGUGAGUGAUGAAGGUCUUCGGAUCGUAAAACUCUGUUAUUAGGGAAGAACAGAUGUGUAAGUAACUGUGCACAGCUUGACGGUACCUAAUCAGAAAGCCACGGCUAACUACGUG
RNAcentral lists this ribosomal RNA (497 nucleotides) under uncultured bacterium. RNAcentral describes it as "partial 16S ribosomal RNA". It matches the Rfam family "Bacterial small subunit ribosomal RNA", at positions 28 to 507 of the family's 1533-position model. The record is from RNAcentral.